Molecule: long non-coding RNA, 3026 nt
Filed under: Mus caroli (Ryukyu mouse)
Lineage: Eukaryota; Metazoa; Chordata; Mammalia; Rodentia; Muridae
Description: lncRNA (MGP_CAROLIEiJ_G0006702.1)
Source: RNAcentral
UUCCUCUUCGUCCUCCUCCUCCCGCUCGCUCCCAUAAGCAUUGCCCUCCUCGUCCGUGCGACUACGGGGAGCCCACGUCAUCUUGUUCUCCUUCUUGAGGCGCCGGCGCGCGUUGGCGAACCAGAAGGGAAAGAAAAACAAAAUGCAGCACCACACAACAACAACACACAACAACACCACACAAGAGCCUCUGAGAUGCUCCUUCCUUCCUUACUGCAUUAACCAGCUAUCGACCUGGUUGUGUCCGAUUGCGAUGACGGACUGAGAGAAAGAACACCGGAAGAGCCAGGCUGUUCUCAGGAAGGACUCACGCCGGCCAGGGGGCCGCCCCUGGCCCAGAGGGUGAACCUCUAGACCCAGGCACAGUGCACAAAGCGCUCGCCACGGACGCUCUGUGGUCUGGGCUCAGGGUGCCAGGAGCAUACAGAAAAGGUGUACGCCGAAGACACGUGGCGCACGAAGCUGUGCGCGCUGGAGGACAACUACAAGCGGUGCCCGAUGUGUAGCCAGAGGCCCACCAGCUUCGGGGUCGGACACUCCGAACCACCAGCCCCCAUCUCUUCUCCCCCCCCCCCCGGUCUAGCUCCCCGAUGUGCCUGUGUCCCCCAUCGUUGGGAGCUUCUGCAGCCUUGUGUCUCCCAGCUCGGACAGAGUUCAAUCCUUUCCUCCCAAGGCUCAGAGUCCCCCAGAGGCGGUGCGGGCUGGCUAUCCUUCAGCUUCCUGCAGAGGCUGCUGCCUACGCUCCCCCCACCCCCAGCUGGGGUUACAGCAGCCACACGGACUUGCAGAUGCAUGGCCUGGCGUAGCACCGGGAGGAAUUCACAUUUGACUGUGAAUCCGGCCUCGGAGCAUCCCAGGAGGCGCGGGCCGGGCGCCGGCACGUCUGCCGUGCAACGCUGGCUGAGCCCUGUAAGCCGUCAGGGCCCGGGAGGCUGUCCCUGUUCCAGAGGCGCUACGGGAAACUUUGAGGCAAACUUUGCAAACUUCUUUCUCGGAGUUAAAGAGAGGCCGCCGGUCAGAAAGGCUGCAGCGGCAGCAGCGUGGGCCCCAGGCCGGAUUUGUACACCGCCGAACUGGCCCUGCGGCCCCACAAGGAGCGCGAGGCUCUCCAGCGUGCCCAUCCGUGCCUGCACCUCCCGGACCAGGGCCCCUGCCACUGGCCAGCUCUACACGACUCCCGGAAUCUCAGCAUGGAAGGAAAACCGUGGCCCUGUGCACCAGUGGUUUUAUUUCUCUUUCUCUCUGCAAAAACAUCCAGUUUCCACCUGCGCCGAGCUUUUUCGCUGAUCUUUUUUUUUUUUUUUUUCGUCCUGUCUAUUUCUCACACUUUCUGUAUGUUUGCUUUCCGGGGAUGUAUUUUUCUUUUUCUUUGAGUCCAAGUGUGUUGUUUGAUCCUUUUAUUUUUAUUUUCCUGGACCGUUUUCUUAAAGUUCAUUCUUUUUUGCCUCUCCCUUCUGUGUCUCUGCCCCCCCACCCUUCCCCGGUUUCAUCUUCUUCCUUUUCUCGCUCCCUCUCUUACCCCAUCUGCCCUAUUUCAAUCUUGAUCUACCCCAGGCUCUCCUUUUCUGGUUUCUUCUCUUUUCCUUUCCUCUACAGUCUGUCCCCUCCCCCGCCCGUGGAUCUGCUUCUCCCUCAUCCCCUCCCUCCUCAUCCAUCUUGGGAGAUGAAUAUGUCGCCUUAUUGGAUGCGGAGGCCAAAGCAGGGCAAUGGGGCUCGGCCAACGCCGCACAUUUUCUUCAUGCAUAUUGAGAAUAUGGUAAUGAGCGCGUUUGCAUUGUUGCAUGGAAAUGAUGCGACUCCCUCUGCGGUGCGGAGUGGGCAAGGUUGGUGUGGACCCAAGAGAGCUCGGUAGUGGGGACCGGGCCUAGUGGCCCUAGUGACCCACCGGGGGACAAGGACAUGACCUCUAGGAGCGCCCUGCCCUCCCUCCGCCUGUUCUGGCUCCCAGAAAGGCGUUGCUACCCGGGUUAAACCUUGGAGAAGGGAAGCCAGCCUUGCUCAGCCGCCCCGGCUGGGCUGUCGCGUCCCUGGUCCCGGCCUGAAACCCUUCUCCGCUGUUUAGAGUUCUGGAAAGGAGAGUCUGUGUUCUCUAAUGGCUACACGUUGUUUGCAGUUCGAGUGAUCCUUUAGGAUGAAACACAGCCCUGCGCCAUGCGCGUCUCCACCAGGCGGGCGGGUGGACAUCGUUUGCCCUGCCAGAUUGAAGUCUGGCCAGUUGGUCCUCAGCGGCGAUAAGGUUGAACCCCCCUCCCCCCAGUUAUCCAACAGAAGCAGCUCUUCCCCGAGGCCAGCCAAGUUCAGGUGAAGGGACCCAGGGCCUGCAGAAGGGUGAAAUUCUGUUGAAGCAGGCCAGGCUCUGCCUGGGACUGGGAAGGAAGCCAUGUUACACUUGCUGGGAGCUCAGAGCCCCAGAACCCAUAUUUAGCAGUCAAACCUCACCACAGCUCACCUCAGGACAUUUUCCUGCCUCCUUCUCCCCCAUUUCCUACUAGGGAAGGGAAGUCCCUAGCAGGGGCUCCAGGGCCGAAAUGCAUUGUGGAAAGGCAGCGCUGAAUAGGGUCAGGUUUCCCAACCUUCCAGCAUUCUGCCUUGGCUAAGGACUGAAGAGUUUCGCUUCAACUGAGUCCUUUUCAAAACUCAAGUGCCUCGUUCUGGGAAAGCAUUUGAUCCCUUGUCCCCUACUUCGGCAAACUGGAAAGUAGCUGUUAGCAGAAAGGGAACAUAGCUACGAGCAAACCAUGCUCCUAAGCCUUGCACCUUCCCACUUGGGGUUCAAGCCCUUCCUGUGUUAUUAACAAAGCGGCUUUGGGUGUGUGAGUAGUGACUCUUGGAAGACGAGAGCUUAAAAACGAAUGUUUCUUUCUUGGUCCUCUUAUGACUUAAAAUGAUGUCAGGGGUCUCAAGGGCUGUCCUGGCUUGCAGCUUGGUGGUGGUGUUUUCUGCUAAAACCAGUGUGAAAAAUUUAAGGCAAAAACCAACGUGCUGAAUUAUUACUGGCAAAUAAGCUCAUUUAAACGUUUUUCAGG